GGAGAGGUAUCGAAGCGGUCAUAACGAGGCGGUCUUGAAAACCGUUUGACUUAACGGUCACGUGGGUUCGAAUCCCACCCUCUCCGCCA
RNAcentral lists this transfer RNA (89 nucleotides) under Ruminococcus flavefaciens. RNAcentral describes it as "tRNA_Ser_TGA". It matches the Rfam family "tRNA". Rfam says of the family: Transfer RNA (tRNA) molecules are approximately 80 nucleotides in length. RNAcentral also lists the same sequence under 9 other names. The record is from RNAcentral. Lineage: Bacteria; Bacillati; Bacillota; Clostridia; Eubacteriales; Oscillospiraceae.